GACGAACGCUGGCGGCGUGCUUAACACAUGCAAGUCGAACGGUGAAGCGCCUUCCUUUUUGGUGGGUGUGGAUGAGUGGCGAACGGGUGAGUAACACGUGAGUAACCUGCCCCCUUCUUCUGGAUAACCGCAUGAAAGUGUGGCUAAUACGGGAUAUUCUGGGUCUGUCGCAUGAUGGGUCUGGGAAAGAUAUUGUUUCGGUGGGGGAUGGGCUCGCGGCCUAUCAGCUUGUUGGUGGGGUGAUGGCCUACCAAGGCGGUGACGGGUAGCCGGCCUGAGAGGGUGGACGGUCACACUGGGACUGAGACACGGCCCAGACUCCUACGGGAGGCAGCAGUGGGGUAUAUUGCACAAUGGGCGCAAGCCUGAUGCAGCGACGCCGCGUGAGGGAUGGAGGCCUUCGGGUUGUGAACCUCUUUCGCCAGUGAAGCAGGCCUGCCUCGUUUGUGGGUGGGUUGACGGUAGCUGGAUAAGAAGCGCCGGCUAACUACGUG
Molecule: ribosomal RNA, 494 nt
Filed under: uncultured bacterium
Lineage: Bacteria
Description: partial 16S ribosomal RNA
Rfam family: Bacterial small subunit ribosomal RNA
Source: RNAcentral